This 1511-nucleotide ribosomal RNA is filed under the name metagenome. RNAcentral describes it as "bacterial LSU rRNA". It matches the Rfam family "Bacterial large subunit ribosomal RNA", at positions 1420 to 2911 of the family's 2925-position model. The record is from RNAcentral.
GGGAAACAGGUUAAUAUUCCUGUACUUGGUGUUACUGCGAAGGGGGGACGGAGAAGGCUAUGUUGGCCGGGCGACGGUUGUCCCGGUUUAAGCGUGUAGGCUGGUUUUCCAGGCAAAUCCGGAAAAUCAAGGCUGAGGCGUGAUGACGAGGCACUACGGUGCUGAAGCAACAAAUGCCCUGCUUCCAGGAAAAGCCUCUAAGCAUCAGGUAACAUCAAAUCGUACCCCAAACCGACACAGGUGGUCAGGUAGAGAAUACCAAGGCGCUUGAGAGAACUCGGGUGAAGGAACUAGGCAAAAUGGUGCCGUAACUUCGGGAGAAGGCACGCUGAUAUGUAGGUGAAGCGACUUGCUCGUGGAGCUGAAAUCAGUCGAAGAUACCAGCUGGCUGCAACUGUUUAUUAAAAACACAGCACUGUGCAAACACGAAAGUGGACGUAUACGGUGUGACGCCUGCCCGGUGCCGGAAGGUUAAUUGAUGGGGUUAGCGCAAGCGAAGCUCUUGAUCGAAGCCCCGGUAAACGGCGGCCGUAACAAUAACGGUCCUAAGGUAGCGAAAUUCCUUGUCGGGUAAGUUCCGACCUGCACGAAUGGCGUAAUGAUGGCCAGGCUGUCUCCACCCGAGACUCAGUGAAAUUGAACUCGCUGUGAAGAUGCAGUGUACCCGCGGCAAGACGGAAAGACCCCGUGAACCUUUACUAUAGCUUGACACUGAACAUUGAGCCUUGAUGUGUAGGAUAGGUGGGAGGCUUUGAAGUGUGGACGCCAGUCUGCAUGGAGCCGACCUUGAAAUACCACCCUUUAAUGUUUGAUGUUCUAACGUUGACCCGUAAUCCGGGUUGCGGACAGUGUCUGGUGGGUAGUUUGACUGGGGCGGUCUCCUCCUAAAGAGUAACGGAGGAGCACGAAGGUUGGCUAAUCCUGGUCGGACAUCAGGAGGUUAGUGCAAUGGCAUAAGCCAGCUUGACUGCGAGCGUGACGGCGCGAGCAGGUGCGAAAGCAGGUCAUAGUGAUCCGGUGGUUCUGAAUGGAAGGGCCAUCGCUCAACGGAUAAAAGGUACUCCGGGGAUAACAGGCUGAUACCGCCCAAGAGUUCAUAUCGACGGCGGUGUUUGGCACCUCGAUGUCGGCUCAUCACAUCCUGGGGCUGAAGUAGGUCCCAAGGGUAUGGCUGUUCGCCAUUUAAAGUGGUACGCGAGCUGGGUUUAGAACGUCGUGAGACAGUUCGGUCCCUAUCUGCCGUGGGCGCUGGAGAACUGAGGGGGGCUGCUCCUAGUACGAGAGGACCGGAGUGGACGCAUCACUGGUGUUCGGGUUGUCAUGCCAAUGGCACUGCCCGGUAGCUAAAUGCGGAAGAGAUAAGUGCUGAAAGCAUCUAAGCACGAAACUUGCCCCGAGAUGAGUUCUCCCUGACUCCUUGAGAGUCCUGAAGGAACGUUGAAGACGACGACGUUGAUAGGCCGGGUGUGUAAGCGCAGCGAUGCGUUGAGCUAACCGGUACUAAUGAACUG